This 56-nucleotide ribosomal RNA is filed under the name Daldinia decipiens. Its description in RNAcentral is "partial 28S ribosomal RNA". Lineage: Eukaryota; Fungi; Ascomycota; Sordariomycetes; Xylariales; Hypoxylaceae. The record is from RNAcentral.
UUGACCUCGGAUUAGGUAGGAAUACCCGCUGAACUUAAGCAUAUCAAUAAAGCGGA